This 698-nucleotide long non-coding RNA is filed under the name Haliotis rubra (blacklip abalone). RNAcentral's name for it is "uncharacterized LOC124287186, transcript variant X2". Lineage: Eukaryota; Metazoa; Mollusca; Gastropoda; Lepetellida; Haliotidae. The record is from RNAcentral.
UCAUACUACAUAAGUACAGUAUAGGUAGCUUCAUACUACAUAAGUACAGUAUAGGUAGCUUCAUACUACAUAAGAACAGUAUAGGUAGCUUCAUAGGACAUAAGUACAGUAAAGGUAGAUUCAUAGUACAUAAGUACAGUAUAGGUAGCUUCAUAGUACAUAAGUGCAGUAAAGGUAGCUUCAUACUACAUAAGUGCAGUAAAGGUAGCUUCAUAGGACAUAAGUGCAGUAAAGGUAGCUUCAUACUACAUAAGUGCAGUAUAGGUAGCUUCAUAGGACAUAAGUGCAGUAUAAGUAGCUUUAUAGUACAUAAGUACAGUAUAGGUAGCUUCAUAGAACAUAAGUGCAGUAUAGGUAGCUUCAUAGUACAUAAGUACAGUAAAGGUAGCUUCAUACUACAUAAGUGCAGUAUAAGUAGCUUUAUAGUACAUAAGUACAGUAUAGGUAGCUUAAUAGAACAUAAGUGCAGUAUAGGUAGCUUCAUAGAACAUAAGUGCAGUAUAGGUAGCUUCAUAGGACAUAAGUGCAGUAUAAGUAACUUCAUAGUACAUAAGUACAGUAUAGGUAGCUUCAUAGGACAUAAGUACAAGAUAGGUAGCUUCAUAGUACAUAAGUACAGUGUAGGUAGCUUCAUGGGACAUAAGUGCAGUAUAGGUAGCUUCAUAGGACAUAAGUACAGUAUAGGUAGCUUCAUAGUA